UAAGUUAUGUUAAUUUAGUUAGUUUUUGGUUAAUGUGCCUUUUGCAUCAUGCUUUAAUAAGUUAAUAAAAAAUUUUUUUUACCGAAAACCUUAGAUCUUAUAUUGAAUUGAAAUUGAUUAUAUCGGGUAGAUUAUAGGUAAAUUGAAUGUAAGUUGUGAUAAAUUAAUCGAUGGGGUUUAUAUCUGUUUAAUGGUUAAGUAUUUUAGUUUAAUUAGAUAGCGAGGAUGUUAUUUAAAGAGGUAUACUUAGGUUAUUAUGUGUUAGUAUAAGGUUAAAAGUACCUAUUACUUAAAAGAUUGUUAUAGAUGAGCAUAAAAUGAGGGAACAAGUUAUUUUAAAAGACCAUUUUUCUUGACAGGUUGUUGAAUAUUUAUGUUUAAAUAAGUAAUGUUAAUAUUUUUAUUGUUUCUCAAGUUUUGCCCGUCUGUUUAUUAAAAACAUUUCCAUUUUUAAAUUUUUAUGGUAGUGCCUGCUCUAUGCUUAUUGUAAAUGGCCGCAGUAUCUUGACUGUGCGAAGGUAGCAUAAUUAAUUGCCUUGUAAUUGAAGGCUUGUUUGAAUGGUUUGACGUGGUAAUUUCAAACAUUAAAAAUUUUUUUGAAAUUAUUAUAGAGGGCACAGAAACCUCUUAUUUUAAUUAGACGGAAAGACCCCGGGAUCUUUCUUUUUUGUCUGGGGCAGAUAGAAAUAUUUUAUUUAGAUUGCGACCCUUUUAUAGUUUAGUGAGUUAAGUUACCCCGGGGAUAACAGUAUAAUAGCUUAAUAGAGAUCUUAUCGAUUAAGUUGCUUGUUACCUCGAUGUUGACUUAGGUUUUAAUUUGGGCGCAGUAGUCUGAAUUUUAGGUCUGUUCGACCUAGUAGCCUCCAUGAGUUGAGUUAAGACCGGUGCGAGCCAGGUCGGUUCUUAUCUAUUACUCUAGUUUAUUAGUACGAAAGGAUUGUAAAUUAUUUUAUU
RNAcentral lists this ribosomal RNA (954 nucleotides) under Echeneibothrium williamsi. Its description in RNAcentral is "16S ribosomal RNA". The stretch from base 634 to 913 matches the Rfam family "Archaeal large subunit ribosomal RNA", at positions 2150 to 2716 of the family's 2987-position model. Lineage: Eukaryota; Metazoa; Platyhelminthes; Cestoda; Rhinebothriidea; Echeneibothriidae. The record is from RNAcentral.